AGUGAACGCUGGCGGCAGGCCUAAUACAUGCAAGUCGAACGGCAGCACAGUGGAGCUUGCUCCAUGGGUGGCGAGUGGCGGACGGGUGAGGAAUACAUGGGAAUCUGCGCAGUCGUGGGGGAUAACGUAGGGAAACUUACGCUAAUACCGCAUGCGCCCUUCGGGGGAAAGCCGGGGACCUUCGGGCCUGGCGCGAUUGGAUGAGCCCAUGUUCGAUUAGCUAGUUGGCGGGGUAAAGGCCCACCAAGGCGACGAUCGAUAGCUGGUCUGAGAGGAUGAUCAGCCACACUGGGACUGAGACACGGCCCAGACUCCUACGGGAGGCAGCAGUAGGGAAUAUUGGACAAUGGGCGCAAGCCUGAUCCAGCCAUGCCGCGUGAGUGAAGAAGGCCCUCGGGUUGUAAAGCUCUUUUGUCCGGGAAGAAAAGCAUCGGGCUAAUACCUCGGUGUUCUGACGGUACCGGAAGAAUAAGCACCGGCUAACUUCGUG
This 490-nucleotide ribosomal RNA is filed under the name uncultured bacterium. RNAcentral describes it as "partial 16S ribosomal RNA". It matches the Rfam family "Bacterial small subunit ribosomal RNA", at positions 29 to 507 of the family's 1533-position model. The record is from RNAcentral.